CUGAGAGAGCCUGUCUUUGAAGGUGUAGCGAUAGCUGGGGUUCCAUCUAACGAAUUGAGUGAUGAACCAGUACAAACUGAACCACAAUUCAGCUAAAGAUAAACCCAUCCAAGCCCAUCUUCUCAGCAGUUGUCCAUCUGCAGCUGGGAAGUGAACCACCCUAUAAAUACAGAUAAAAGUGAUGCCCACCAAAACUGAUGCUGCAUAGCAUCUGAAUAGUAUACGACCCCUAGCAGCUUUUGUUUCAAAGAGAGGAAGAUAGCCAUCUUUGCCCGUUGCUUCUGUCUUUCUCUGACCACCAUGUGAUCAGCUUAUAUAAAUAGUUUGGUUUGCAUUUUUCAUUUUAUUGUUGUUAUGGUCAAAACUUUACUUUGCCGCUUUAGAUGGCAUCAAAGAAAGGAGUAAAAACAAAUUAUCCCAUCUAAGCCCACCCAUCUCUAAAUUGCUUUCCUCUUGUAAAUGAACCGAGCACAAAUAGAACAAGUACCCAUAAAGGUUGAAACUGGAUAAACUGUGAAACAAGAUUUGACCCUUUUCAGCCCUUGUUUCAAACAGAGGAUGAGAAACAUCUCUCUAGCUCUCAUGCUCUCAUACUCUCCCUCUGCUGUCUCAUGCAUUACCUUAUAUAACCUGCCCACUGUUUCCUUUAAAUUCAAGAAUGUUUCUAACAAGGAGACAAGGGAUAUUCAAGGUUUAAGCAUCCUCUGCAUGCACAAACAGAGUUCAUGUGCUCAUUCUUUUUUCCUUAAAAAUUUGCAAUUUCUGGACUCUCUGGUGACACCCUGAUGAACAGGGGUUUAAGCAAGAGGCUUGUAACAAAUUAAAAUGGGUACAUGAUUAAUAUCGAAGCCUUUAUACCUGGAGAAACAUAUACUAUCCAUUAUUGAAAAUUGAAACUGCAUCAGUUAUACAUAUAUAACAGUUCUUCAGAGCCUUAUAUAAUACAUAUGAAGUUGUGGCAAAGAGACUUUGCUUACUGAUACAGUAAACUAAUACAAGGCUAAUGAACAGGCCAACAGCGCUAAAGAAACUGAUUUGUAUGUGACUGAUGUUGGCAUGGUGCCCUUGUCCUUGCGGAAAAAGAGCCCUUGGUAUACGGGCAGGUUGAUGAGAACAAGAACCCCACAUAAGAUAAUCUGCAGAGCCAAUGACUCCAAAGGUUUAAUUUGAAUAUCCACAACCACCCUCUUUACACCACAAACAAAACUGAACAGAUUGAGCAAUGCAAGUGUAGCUGAAAUGGUAAACAUUGGUGAAGGAGAACCAAACUCCAUGAUUUCUUGUUCGUAUCUUUGAGACACAUCUUCAUCACACACCUUUGCAGUGACAGCAAAAGUGGUCUCAGCAAAGCCUAGUAUCCUCAAGAUUGUAUCAAGGAAGCCAAAGAAGUAGGAAGUUGUCCUUCUGAACAUCCAUAUUCUUUGAUCAUUCCACCAACCUUGGAUUGUGCCACCAUACCAAUGAAACUCACCUAAGCUGUAUGCAUGCUUGGCAAUAAUGACAUAGGCAAAGGGAAGGACCCACAGGCUCCAUAUCUGAAAAAGUAACAUAAUUCAUUGCCGGGAACCAAAUAGCAUUUCAAUUGUUUGGAUACAGCAAAGUGUCAUGUCAGGACUUCUCUUUCUAAAAUGGAAGAAGAAAAGCACAUAGUUCUUUUCGAAGUAUUUAGGAAAAUCUAUCAUGUUGAGAAACUAAAUUUAUUGUGAAUAAUUUGAGAAAUUUUGCUAGCUAGUGAUCAUACAUUAUAGAACAAUGUUGCCUGUGCUUGACAGUAAGUAUUUUGCAGUUCUGUACUACUCAAAAGUUUUUAAGUUUGGAAGUAUUUGUUUAAAUGAUGUAAUGUUCAUACCUCUGGAAACAAGGAGAUGCCUCCAAGGAGACAAAGGGAUGGGACAGCAACAUAGCAUAGCAUAGCCAAGGAGUAUGCAGCCCACAGAUUAUAGAUAGAGUAUGCGAGUUGAAGUUUCAGAGGAACCUUUUUGUGUCCAUAUAUAAAUGGACAGUGUCUCGAGAGAAACAUCUGAAGGUGGCCUUCAGACCAUCUCUUGUGUUGUACUAGUGACUGCAACAGUGUUGUGGGCGCAACACCCAAGAAGCCCUUCCUUUCUGGAUUGACAUAGACGGAUCUCCAACCUCUACAUUGUAUUGAGAAUCCUGUGAUAAUGUCUUCCACUGCACAAUCAUACUUCACGCCCAUCUGCAAUUCAACAUAAAGAUUAAGUUUUUUAGCUUAAGAAAAGGAAAAAGCUUUACAGGCAGGAAAUUCAUGAGACAGAGACAGAAGAACCUCCUUUCCCCAUUGACUGUUCUCUUCGUAGGUACAACUUGCAAGGACCUUACAUGAUUCUUCUAGUACACUAGCACUUUCUCUUCCUCUUCUGCCAUUCUCUUUCUUCCAUUCUCUCUCACAUUCCUUGUCAUAUUUCAUUCCACACAGUGCCACUCUCCUAUGAAAGCACCCGGUACCAAUAUAGAAAGGUCCUCCAUUAGAAUCAAGGCCUGGAAAUUCCACCUUUUUCACCAGUCAUGCCAAAAGCCAACAAUAAAAUCAUUAGGAAGUCAUUGCUAAUGCCUACCUCCUCUAGGCCAAGCAGUAAGGAAUAAAUAAUUCUUUCAAAUCUUGCCUACCUCAAUAAUCACCCUAAAGCAGUUGCCAUAUAAGUCAUUCCUAGUAAGAUUAUCGUAGCACUGUGGAAACUGGACAUAAGCAAUUUCAUGGCCCUUCUCUUCAUCCAUGAAAAAACACACAGCAUCUCUCACUGAUUCUGAAUUGUUGGAGUACAUGUCACAGUCCACAUUAAGAAUAAUCGAGCCAUUGCUUAUCUUUGAUGACACCCUUAUCUGUUCAACAAAAUCAGAGUCACCUACAUUAAGAUAAUUGGCAGUGGUUCACUGUAGGAAAGCUGAAGUCAUUUAAGCUUACGAGUGCAUUCAUGGCUCCAGCUUUAAAAUUGUGAUGGUAUUGGGGUCUCUUCUCACGGGACAAGUAUACUAGAGUUGGCAAAGGUUGUCCUUCAGAGUCCACAGCCUUGGGGUCUCUCCCAUCAAUCACUAUCUGUUACUUUAUAUAAUAUUAGCAAAAGAUGAAUCAAAGAUAAAUAUGAAGAAAAACUUAGUAGAGAUGUAUUGAUUUUCAAGAAGAAAUCUCUUGGAAUAGGAAAAAAUACACAAAUUAGUAGAAUAACUACUUGAACAAUGGACUGAUGGUCAUGCCGUGUUGAAGCACUGUUCCACUCCAGAAAUCCCUUGUCCUCCUUUCUUAUUUCUUCUGAAAUCCUGCCCAGUCUAGUGGUGGUUUCAAUUCUAUUCUUCAUUUCUUCAUACAAUUCCUAUAAUGAGAAAAGGAAUAGAAGUUCUAAAUCAUAUGUAGAAAAACUCUAAAAAGAUUUGCCUAGUAUGGGAGUCACACAUACUCAUUAUAACAUGGAAAGAGAGAAAAAUUCAAGUACCAUACCACAUACCAUUACACACUCUGAUGAACAUUUUCUUUGUUCUGCUAAGAGUUUAAGUUCCUAGGAUUUGGACUUUUAUUUAUUUAUUUGUGGGCAUACAUGUGGGCUCAACAAGUCGGGAAAAUAAAUAUGUAUUGAGGUUUGAAUACAUGAUCUCCCACCCAGCCUGCUUUAUCAAUUUUACUGAAAACUUAACCUUGCAGAAUUUGCACCCAUAAUAUAUAUUAUACUCUUCCACACUCAUCAUUAUUUAUGAUCUCUAAAUUGUUUGCAGGAUUUGGAUCUAUAAUAUAUGUUAUACUCUUCCACUCUUCAUCAAUUAUGAUCUAUAAAUUGCUUGUACGAUUUGGACCCAUAAUAUGUCUUGUACUCUUAUCAUAUUCCUCAAUUCUGAUCCCUCAUAGAAUUUAUUUGAGUGGUCAGAAUGCAAGUCAAAUCUUCUAAAAAAUUUAAAAAUCUUAGCAUUCUAUAUAUGAUCCUCCCAAAAAAAAUAAAAAUGAAUAAAUAAAUAAAUAAAAACACUUCUGAAGAACACUACCGAGCACACACUCAUUCAUUCAUUAUCUUCCCUGCAAAACUUUCCGGAAAAGAUGCAACAAUUUUGAAGUGGGUCAGACUGAUGAUGCACAGCGGUCGACAUUAAUGUUGGGGAUCUUUCGUAUCUUAAAUAGUUACUCAUUAAAAGGACAGCAUCCUUCUUACUGUCUGAGGCUCUCUUCCAGCUUCGAUUAUUUCCUUUAACAAUUGGGUCUUUGGAAUGAAGUCAGAGCAGCCUUGGAAGUAGUUGCAGCUUGCAACUAUAUGUUGACAAUUGAUCUUAAACCAAAAUUCAUAGAAUCCAAGGAGAAAAAAACAGAGAAAGUUGUACCUUGAUGGACAACCACUCCUGAGCCAUGAGAGGAUUGCUAUCAGGGGGUUCAGAAGUUGUGGAAAAAUAAGCAGCAGGUGAUCUUGGUUCUAUACUGAACUUCCUACAAAAUGGUAGCCAAUGUUUUGAGAAGCGAGAGGCCUCCAACAAAGCAUAGAAGGUCAGGUCUGAGCCUCCAUCAUCAGAGAGAUAGACGCUUAGGUUCUGUGAUGGGUAAUUGUAAGCCAUGACUGAUAAAACAGUGUUGAUGACCAUGAUGGGUGGCUCUAUUCUUGGAUCUGCAGUGCACACAAAUAUGUCUAUGCCCGGCAAAACCUCCUCAUAUCUGCAAUGAAAUUUCAGAAUGAGCCAUUAGCAGGUAAAGAUAGGAGCAAGAAGAGGGAGAGAGAUUGAAAAAACCUCUGAGAGAGCCUGUCUUUGAAGGUGUAACGAUAGAUGGGGCUCCAUCUAACAAGCUGAGUGAGAAACCAGUAGAAACUGAACAACAACUCAGAUAGAAACAAUCCCAUCCAAGCCCAUCUUCUUAGCACUUGUGCGCCUGCAGGUGGGAAGUGAACCACCCUGUAAACCCAGAUAAAAAUAAUACCCACAAACAUUGAUGCUGCAUAGCAUCUGAAUAGGAUACGACCCUUUGCAACCUUGGUUUCAAAGAGAGGAAGAUAGCCAUCUCUGCCCAUUUCUACACUGCCUUUC
Molecule: long non-coding RNA, 5013 nt
Filed under: Vitis vinifera (wine grape)
Lineage: Eukaryota; Viridiplantae; Streptophyta; Magnoliopsida; Vitales; Vitaceae
Description: long non-coding RNA (VVIN_LNC007743)
Source: RNAcentral